AUCUCUCCCCCGCACUCGCACGUCCCACCUCCUCCCCCUCUCUCGAUCUCCUUUGCGAACCCUAGCCCCACGCUCGCACGCUCCCUGUCGCGCCGCCGCCUCCGCCUCUGCUCGCCGUCGGGCCGUUUCCUUCUUCCCCGAGGGCGGCGAGCCGGAGCUGCCCCUGCGCGUUGUCGACCACCUCCUCGCUGGCUGGACGCCGUCGACUACGAAGCCGGUCUUCUCUAAGUGCGUGCCGCCGUAUGGGUCGCCGAGACGCCGAGGCCGAGGUGGAGCUCCAGACCAUCGAGGCCAUGUACGCCGCUGAGUCCACCAGGCACCGCCACCUCCCCGACUGGUCCAAGACACCAGCCCCCGCCCCCGUUCGCCCACGGCCCAACCCAGUCCCCGCGGCUGCGUGUGCCUCCUCGCCGUCGUGGGUCCUCUCGCCCCCCACUUGCCAAGGUGCGGCUCCCCCUCUUUUGCCUCUCAUGUUCUACUCCAAAAUGCUUCUUUUGUCUAUCUUGAAGCUUCAGUUAUGCUGCCAAAUUUAGUCUAUCUUGAAGCUUGGGAACAUUCAAAUUUAGUCUAACUUUUGAGUAGCAAGUUCCCUGAUUUUUUUUUUGAAGCUUCAGUUUUGCAUCUCAAGUCUGAUCGAAAUGCACAAGACAUUCAAAUCACUGAAUGAAUGCCUAAAAAGAGGAAAAAGGCAGCAAGGAGGGAGAGGAUAUUUUUGUAUCUCAGGUCUGAAUGAGAUGCACAUUAUAAUGUCAAUAUGUCAUCAGAUUAAUUGGUUUCUUGGGGGUCCUAAUGAGUUUUAUGAGAAAAACUAGCUUAAAUGGCAGCAAGUUUUGAAUACAGUGUAUGUUCUAUAGCUUCUUUAACAAGAUCACCGAAUACAGUUUUUUGGGGUCCUUGUAUUGUUUAUCAUGUUUAUCACUGCAAGUUCAUGAUCCAAUAGUUAAGAGUAAGUCUAAGAUCAUUUGGUCACAGAAAUUUGAUCUUGACUGAACAUCAACUUGACAGAUCAAAACCUGGCAGAAAUUGACAGGUUCUGAACAUCAACUUGACUGAACAAAGAUCUUGAUUGAAAGAACUUGUGCUUGGUCCUAUGCAUCUACAGUUUUGUUAAUAGAUCUUUUUUGUAUCUUUCAUUCUGUCUUGAUCUUGACUGAGUAAAUUUUCAGUGUGAGUACCAGCUACUCACCCAUGUUCUUCUCUAUAAUCAAGUGUUCCCGGGGAAGCCUAGUAAUGGCCAAUUCAUCUCAAAAUAAUGCAAACCCUUGCAAACUGCUCAGGUAGCUAUUGCUCCUAAUCAAAUGACAAUUUAUCCUUUGAACUUGUUCACAAAUGCAACUCUGGUCGCUGGCUUCUACAUAUGGACCAUGUGGAGUACUCUGUAUAUUCAAUAUAGUGAUUUUCUUUUGCUUAUUUGAUUUUUGGAUUAAUUUGUAUAUUCAACAUAUAUUGUGGAAAUCUUGAAUUUUAUUGAAACCUCUAUACUUGCUUGAACUGAUGUUCAGGAAGUAGUUGAGCACACCUAUGUCAUCGGUUGUAAAUAGCUGGACUAAAGGAUCUAUGCACAUAUCUGCACCCCAAGUGCAGGUUUAUUGCUGGAGUGUGGAAUAGUUUGAGCACGACAGUCAAGGUAAAAUGACAAAACUGCAUGUUACACAAAUCUUCUAUGAUUACACAAAACUGCAUGUACACACCAACCCUGCUGUGCCUAUUCUUUACAAGUGCUAAUUAACAGUAACCGAAUAAACUAACAGUAACAGAUUCGGUACUGGUUGUCAAAAUGUGUUGCCGUGUCGUCAUUGUCAGAACUGAAAUGAAAUGUGCUCGAACUGGUCAAGCACAUGAUUCAAAAUGUGUUGAAAUGAUUAAAAUGUGUUGAAUCAUGGCCAUGUUCAAAAUGUGCUUGGUCAAGCAGUCUAAACAUAUGGCUGAAUAUGCACUACUCCUCGAACUGGAAUGAAAUGGUCAUGGCCAUGAUUCAUUCAGUCUAAGUAGCAGUUCAACAUUACUAUUUCUUAAUAAUGAAUACUCUCCUUCUGUUAACAUUGUUUUUGUAUCUUUCGUGAAACGCAUGUUCCUGGCUUUAGCACUAUUCUUAGAACAAUGAUUUAGCUAAUUGAUGAUGAUGAUUUCCAGUUGAUUGUAAGGACCGCACAUUUCUGAUUCUGGAAAAAGUGAACACUAAUGCUUAUGUGCAUUAUGAUCUCAACUUAUUUAUUUAUUUAUUGUCUGAUUAUUUUAGAGGCUUUAUGGACACUAAUUUAUGUAACUCACUAAUAAUGCAAUGAACAAAUCUGUAGAUCACUUAACUGAACGCCAAAGAAGUGUUUUCUUUUGUUGUUUCUCAUGACACAUAACUUCUUGGUUGUCUGCAGAUGCAGGAUAUAGAAUCAAACUCAUUUCUUUAUUGCAGACCUUUUUGGGCGUUUCUCGGAAAAUUAUACGACUCUUCAUUAGGGUCAUGAUGAAUGCCUGCUUUUCAAGUUUUCAUGUGGAUCUGCUACUGAUCAGGGUCUGGUGAAAGGCAAGGACAAAUGGCUUGUUUUGUCCAGUCCAUGGUGGGCAAGGUCUUUGUCUCUGGGUUGCGAGAAUAUCUUUGACCGUCCAUAAUCUCUGGUCAGCUGCAUACAUCAUAUUCUUAUAAUAUCAUAUGUGAUUUCCAGUGGUGUUGUGUAAAAAGACUGCUUGUUAUAGCUUCAGUUUGGCCUGGUUCAGUUUGGUUGCUCAUGUUCAUGUGUGUCUUCACCUCAGAAAAAUUAGAAGGAAAUCAAAUUAUCUUUUGGCCCGCUUCUCAUUUUUAUUUAUAUUACAAUUGUUAUUACUUGUGAUAAUAAUAGUUUUAGUUUAUAAAAAUUAUCAAUAUUGGUAAGUGACACUAAAUUAAUGUCUCUCUUUGCUUUGCUACCUCUCUUAGAAUUUAGGAGGAACUAGAUAAUAUUUGUCUGAUUGAUUUUAUUUAUUAGUAAUGAUUUAUGGGAACAAAACACUGAUAAUGUUCUUCCUUUUUUCGAGUGCCUUCUUUGCUUUUGCUUUUUUAUCAAAUUUUGUUCCCUUUUUUGAGUCAUGUCCCGUGUGGAUAUUUUGUGACCAUGAUUGUGUCUAUUGAUCUUCAUGCACAUCCUUAUUUGGUAUGCUAAUGCUCUACUUACAAGUGAACAAGAAUCUCAGUGUGUAGUGUGUAAACUCUCGACCACCUCUAUAUCUAUCUGUAGUGCUAUAUUCUUUUGGGUGGAACUUAUAGCAUGUUGGUUCCAAAUGGAUAGUGAGUGUCUCACCCCGUGCCCUCUUACUCAAACUAGCUUGUAGAAUUAUUUCAUAUUUUAGGACAAGGAUUAAUGGCUACUUUUUAUAGAUAAAUUUGAUGCUUAUUUGGUGUUCACUUUUGUUGAUACAGAAGGCAAAUUGUACUUCUUAAAGUUAUGGUGGUUUCUACAUUUUGAUUUAGAGCCCCGGUCUGCGGGGUGGGGACGCAUGGGUCCUUGGUCCGGCGCUGUCGACAUGAUGUUGUGCGCGGGUCUUGCUUUCUUGCUAGAUAAGUAUUUAGGAAAAAUCUAAAAUACUCCUUCAAGGUUUAUACAUCAAUUGCAAAGGGUUUUAGGAAUGCGUCACUAUAUUGUUUUGGAUUUAUACAUGAACCGCAGAGAGUUUUAUAAAUGUAUCAUUAUAUUGUUUUAGGUUUAUAUAUGAACUGCAAAAAACUUUAGGCAUGUGAAAAUCAGAGCUCAUGAGGCAUGUGAUAUUCUUUUUCUGUGGUGGCGUGUAUAUAUUAUGUGAUUUUACUUCCUGUUUGGUUUCUUGAUAAUCCCUAAGUGCAAGGAAUCAUCGUAGCAAUUUCUAAAGAUGGAAGUGAUAAGUAUUGAGUGUCGAACCCACAAGGAGCUAAAG
RNAcentral lists this long non-coding RNA (3882 nucleotides) under Triticum aestivum (bread wheat). Its description in RNAcentral is "long non-coding RNA (TAES_LNC023164)". Lineage: Eukaryota; Viridiplantae; Streptophyta; Magnoliopsida; Poales; Poaceae. The record is from RNAcentral.